AUUGAACGCUGGCGGCAUGCCUUACACAUGCAAGUCGAACGGCAGCACGGGAGCAAUCCUGGUGGCGAGUGGCGAACGGGUGAGUAAUAUAUCGGAACGUGCCCAGUCGUGGGGAUAACGUAGCGAAAGCUACGCUAAUACCGCAUACGAUCUAUGGAUGAAAGCGGGGGAUCGCAAGACCUCGCGCGAUUGGAGCGGCCGAUAUCAGAUUAGGUAGUUGGUGAGGUAAAGGCUCACCAAGCCGACGAUCUGUAGCUGGUCUGAGAGGAUGAUCAGCCACACUGGGACUGAGACACGGCCCAGACUCCUACGGGAGGCAGCAGUGGGGGAAUAGUUGGACAAUGGGCGAAAGCCUGAUCCAGCAAUGCCGCGUGAGUGAUGAAGGCCUUAGGUUGUAAACUGCUUUUGUACGGUAACGAAACGGUGAGCUCUAAUACAGUUUGCUAAUGACGUACCGUAAGAAUAAGCACGG
RNAcentral lists this ribosomal RNA (472 nucleotides) under uncultured bacterium. RNAcentral's name for it is "bacterial SSU rRNA". It matches the Rfam family "Bacterial small subunit ribosomal RNA", at positions 30 to 495 of the family's 1533-position model. The record is from RNAcentral.